Molecule: ribosomal RNA, 440 nt
Filed under: uncultured bacterium
Lineage: Bacteria
Description: partial 16S ribosomal RNA
Rfam family: Bacterial small subunit ribosomal RNA
Source: RNAcentral
CCUACGGGUGGCAGCAGUGGGGAAUAUUGCACAAUGGGCGAGACCCUGAUGCAGCGACGUCGCGUGAGUGAAGACUUCUCUAGGUAUGUAAAGCUCUAUCAGCAGGGAAGAAAAUGACGGUACGUGAUUCAUAAGCUCCGGCUAACUACGUGCCAGCAGCCGCGGUAAUACGUAGGGGGCAAGCGUUAUCCGGAUUUACUGGGUGUAAAGGGAGCGUAGACGGCAGGACAGGUCUGGAGUGAAAUGCCGGGGCUUAACCCCGAAACUGCUUUGGAUACUGUGCAGCUAGAGUGCAGGAGAGGUAAGUGGAAUUCGUGGUGUAGCGGUGAAAUGCGUAGAUAUCAGGAGGAACACCAGUGGCGAAGGCAGCUUACUGAACUGCAACUGACGUUGAGGCUCGAAAGUGUGGGGAGCAAACAGGAUUAGAUACCCCAGUAGUC